This 890-nucleotide ribosomal RNA is filed under the name Trieres chinensis. RNAcentral describes it as "partial Bacterial large subunit ribosomal RNA". It matches the Rfam family "Bacterial large subunit ribosomal RNA", at positions 1825 to 2723 of the family's 2925-position model. The record is from RNAcentral. Lineage: Eukaryota; Bacillariophyta; Thalassiosirophyceae; Eupodiscales; Parodontellaceae.
GCGAAGUCGCAAGACGAUGUAUAUGGACUGACGCCUGCCCGGUGCUGGAAGGUUAAAAGGAGAGGUGAGAGCUUUGAAUUGAAGCCCCAGUAAACGGCGGCCGUAACUAUAACGGUCCUAAGGUAGCGAAAUUCCUUGUCGGGUAAGUUCCGACCCGCACGAAAGGCGUAAUGAUUUGGAUACUGUCUCGGAGAGAGGCUCGGUGAAAUAGACUUGUCUGUGAAGAUGCGGACUACCUGCACCUGGACAGAAAGACCCUAUGAAGCUUUACUGUAACUUGAAAUUGAAAUUGGACUUUAUUCGCGCAGUAUAGGUGGGAGGCGUUGAGAAUACUCUUGCGGGAGUAUAGGAGCUAUUAGUGAGAUACCACUCUUAUAAUGUUAGGUUUCUAACUUUGAACCAUUAUCUGGUCAAAGAACAGUUUCAGGCGGGCAGUUUGACUGGGGCGGUCGCCUCCCAAAUGGUAACGGAGGCGUACAAAGGUUUCCUCUGAACGGAUAGAAAUCGUAUCUAGAGUAUAAAGGCAUAAGGAAGCUUGACUGUGAGACCUACAAGUCGAGCAGGGACGAAAGUCGGUCUUAGUGAUCUGACGGUACUGAGUGGAAAGGCCGUCACUCAACGGAUAAAAGUUACUCUAAGGAUAACAGGCUGAUCUCCCCCAAGAGUUCACAUCGACGGGGAGGUUUGGCACCUCGAUGUCGGCUCAUCUCAUCCUGGGGCUGUAGCCGGUCCCAAGGGUAUGGCUGUUCGCCAUUUAAAGUGGUACGCGAGCUGGGUUUAGAACGUCGUGAGACAGUUCGGUCCCUAUCUGCCGUGGGUGUAGGAGUAUUGAGAGGAUCUGUCCCUAGUACGAGAGGACCGGGAUGGACAGACCUCUGGUGGACCUGUUG